Molecule: long non-coding RNA, 1337 nt
Organism: Mustela erminea (ermine)
Lineage: Eukaryota; Metazoa; Chordata; Mammalia; Carnivora; Mustelidae
Exons: 2
Source: RefSeq, a predicted model, not a curated record
UGUCAGGAGAAGGGAACAGGAAGGCAGGGAAGUCUUGGCUGAGUGAACAGUGAGUGCUCCAGGGGUAAGACUAUUGCCUUCCAUCCCUAAAGCCAAUGGAGUGGGGUUCUUAGAGAAUUUCUUAUAAAGACUGAGGGUGACUGCAAGACCUGGAGGUUGGCCUCCUAUUCCUUGGAUGGGGGUACGCUGAACCAUCAGCCUUCUGGAAGCACCCCGAUGCUCCUGUAUACAGUGAAUGUCUUAAGGGUUAUUGGAGGAGUUUGCUGAAGUCCUAGGGCAGGGCCUACACUAUCCUUUUCAGUCCCAGAAUCUCACAUGUGCCCUGAGGUUUGUGAACAUACUUAAACCAAGACGGUUCAGAUCGAGAGAUUUCUGAGGAUGAAUGGCCUACCGGAAUGGGCUGCGCUAACAGGCUUGAACAGAUCAUAGUAUCAGGUGUUUGUGAAAACGAUGGGACAAGCUGUGUGUUAUUCUGGUUCCCAUAGGCCUUGGAGGUCAUAGAAGAGGACUCCAACGUCCAGAGGAUGUCAGAGUCCUGGUGGCCCUCCAGGAAGUGCACCGGGUUUAACUGAGAAGCAGCACUGUGGGCUGGCCUGUGAGCCACCUUGCCAAACAACACACGGUGGCACUUGGAGACGCAGCCGGAAUGUGUGGAGAUGGUGGCACCCUUCUGGGAGAAGUCUCAGUUAUGGAGGGUUGGGUUAAACCCAGUCUUUUUUUCUAAGAAUACUACCACACCACUGACUUAGAAGCCACCAGCACUGGUGAAGGUAGAUUGAACCUGAAUGGGUCUGAGGAAAGUCCCUUACCAUGUGAGGACUUUCUGCCUCCACUGUCCCUUCUUCCUUCUCUCAACACCAGAGGAACACCCGGCCAGAGAGAGAAGAAGCAGGGGUUGUAGAUCCAAAUAGAGAGAUUUUCUGGCGCCUCGCAGGAAGCUGAGAAACUUUAAAAAUUAAGUUGACACAUCAUUGGUGGUGAGGCUAACCCUGCUUGGGAACAUUCAAGCCCUCAUUGUCAACUCGAGGAGACGGACUCCAUUAACGUUAGGACCUAGCAUAAUUGAUAGGUGAGAGAAGUACAGGUAAGACGCUGGGGGGAAACGGAGCCAGACCAGAUGAACUCUGGUUGGAGGUGGGCUGCUACUCCGAUGAGAUGAUGUUUGAGUUGAAGAUGAGAAAUCUGAGAGAAGGAUGAAAAGGUGGGCUUUUUAGAUACAAGGACCAGAACCAAGGAGAUACAACAUGAAGUGUGUGAGUAGUCAGUGAUGGCCGGAAUGGAGGAAGGGGGUGGGGGAACUGGGAUAGAAUUCAAGGCCUUCCCAAUAUGGCUCGACC